This 94-nucleotide transfer RNA is filed under the name Amycolatopsis taiwanensis. Its description in RNAcentral is "tRNA-Arg". The record is from RNAcentral. Lineage: Bacteria; Bacillati; Actinomycetota; Actinomycetes; Pseudonocardiales; Pseudonocardiaceae.
GCGUUCCAUGGCCCACGGCGGACGAGUGCCUUCGGUGCGUUCGAGUUCGUAGCCGCCUUGCUGCCAGGCGUUGGUCCCGCCAGUGAGGAGCACG